AGAGUUUGAUCCUGGCUCAGGAUGAACGCUAGCGGCAGGCCUAACACAUGCAAGUCGAGGGGCAGCGCGGUGUAGCAAUACACUGGCGGCGACCGGCGGAAGGGUGCGUAACGCGUGAGCAACAUGCCCGUAUCUGGGGGAUAGGAGAUGGAAACGUCUUAUAAUACCCCAUAACAACAGAGAUUGCAUGAUCUUUGUUUGAAAGAUUCAUUGGAUACGGAUUGGCUCGCGUGACAUUAGCUAGUCGGCGGGGUAACGGCCCACCGAGGCGACGAUGUCUAGGGGUUCUGAGAGGAAGGUCCCCCACACUGGAACUGAGACACGGUCCAGACUCCUACGGGAGGCAGCAGUGAGGAAUAUUGGUCAAUGGGCGGAAGCCUGAACCAGCCAUGCCGCGUGCAGGAAUAAGGCCCUAUGGGUCGUAAACUGCUUUUGACGGGGAGCAAUAAGGGUCUCGCGAGGCCCGAUGAGAGUACUCGUCGAAUAAGCAUCGGCUAACUCCGUGCCAGCAGCCGCGGUAAUACGGAGGAUGCAAGCGUUAUCCGGAUUUAUUGGGUUUAAAGGGUGCGUAGGCGGAGGAGUAAGUCAGGGGUGAAAUGCCGCAGCUCAACUGCGGAACUGCCUUUGAUACUGCUUUUCUGGAGUCCGGAUGCCGUGGGAGGAAUGGGCAGUGUAGCGGUGAAAUGCAUAGAUAUUGCCCAGAACACCGAUUGCGAAGGCAUCUCACGAAUCCGGGACUGACGCUGAGGCACGAAAGCGUGGGGAUCAAACAGGAUUAGAUACCCUGGUAGUCCACGCAGUAAACGAUGAUAACUAACCGUCGGCGAUAGACAGUCGGUGGCCAAGCGAAAGCGAUAAGUUAUCCACCUGGGGAGUACGUUCGCAAGAAUGAAACUCAAAGGAAUUGACGGGGGCCCGCACAAGCGGAGGAACAUGUGGUUUAAUUCGAUGAUACGCGAGGAACCUUACCCGGGCUUGAACUGCAGGAGAACGAUCCAGAGAUGGUGAGGCCCUUCGGGGCUCCUGUGGAGGUGCUGCAUGGUUGUCAUCAGCUCGUGCCGUGAGGUGUCGGCUUAAGUGCCAUAACGAGCGCAACCCCUUUCGCCAGUUGCCAUCAGGUGAUGCUGGGCACUCCGGCGACACUGCCACCGUAAGGUGUGAGGAAGGUGGGGAUGACGUCAAAUCAGCACGGCCCUUACGUCCGGGGCUACACACGUGUUACAAUGGGUGGUACAGAGAGUCAGCGGCCGGCAACGUCCGCUCAAUCAAGAAAGCCAUCCUCAGUUCGGAUUGGGGUCUGCAACCCGACCCCAUGAAGCUGGAUUCGCUAGUAAUCGCGCAUCAGCCAUGGCGCGGUGAAUACGUUCCCGGGCCUUGUACACACCGCCCGUCAAGCCAUGAAAGCCGGGGGCGCCUGAAGUCCGUGACCGCGAGGGUCGGCCUAGGGUGAAACCGGUGAUUGGGGCUAAGUCGUAACAAGGUAACCGUA
Molecule: ribosomal RNA, 1489 nt
Filed under: uncultured rumen bacterium
Lineage: Bacteria
Description: bacterial SSU rRNA
Rfam family: Bacterial small subunit ribosomal RNA
Source: RNAcentral